UAGGGAAUCUUCCACAAUGGACGAAAGUCUGAUGGAGCAACGCCGCGUGAGUGAAGAAGGGUUUCGGCUCGUAAAGCUCUGUUGGUAGUGAAGAAAGAUAGAGGUAGUAACUGGCCUUUAUUUGACGGUAAUUACUUAGAAAGUCACGGCUAACUACGUCGCC
This 163-nucleotide ribosomal RNA is filed under the name uncultured bacterium. Its description in RNAcentral is "partial 16S ribosomal RNA". It matches the Rfam family "Bacterial small subunit ribosomal RNA", at positions 355 to 509 of the family's 1533-position model. The record is from RNAcentral.